GGCGCGAAAACUUUGCAAUACACGAAAGUGUGACAGGGUCAUCCCGAGUGCCGACCGCUGAGGUUGGCUUUUACCCAGUCUAGAAAGCUGGGGGAAUAAGGAGAGGGCAAGUCUGGUGUCAGCCGCCGCGGUAAUACCAGCUCUCCGAGUGGUGUGGACGUUUAUUGGGCCUAAAGCAUCCGUAGCUGGCUGAACAAGUCCCCUGUUAAACCCACCGAUUUAAUCGUUGGUCUGCGGGGGAUACUGCUCGGCUAGGGGACGAGAGAGGCAGACGGUAUUCCCGGGGUAGGGGUGAAAUCCUAUAAUCCCGAGAAGACCACCAGUGGCGAAGGCUGUCUGCUAGAACGCGCCCGACGGUGAGGGAUGAAAGCUGGGGGAGCGAACCGGAUUAGAUACCCGGGUAGUCCCAGCUGUAAACGAUGCAGACUAGGUGUUUGGACGGCCACGUGCCGUUCUAGUGCCGCAGGGAAGCUGUUAAGUCUGCCGCCUGGGGAGUACGAUCGCAAGAUUGAAACUUAAAGGAAUUGGCGGGGGAGCAC
RNAcentral lists this ribosomal RNA (539 nucleotides) under uncultured archaeon. RNAcentral's name for it is "bacterial SSU rRNA". It matches the Rfam family "Archaeal small subunit ribosomal RNA", at positions 338 to 879 of the family's 1478-position model. The record is from RNAcentral.